UUAAGUGACUAAGCGUACACGGUGGAUGCCUAGGCAGUCAGAGGCGAUGAAGGGCGUGCUAAUCUGCGAAAAGCGUCGGUAAGGUGAUAUGAACCGUUACAACCGGCGAUACCCGAAUGGGGAAACCCAGUGUGUUUCGACACACUAUCAUGUCAUGAAUACAUAGUGGCAUGAGGCGAACCGGGGGAACUGAAACAUCUAAGUACCCCGAGGAAAAGAAAUCAACCGAGAUUCCCCCAGUAGCGGCGAGCGAACGGGGAGGAGCCCAGAACCUGAAUCGGCUUGUGUGUUAGUGGAAGCGUCUGGAAAGUCGCGCAGCAAAGGGUGAUAGCCCCGUACACUAAAAUGCACAGGUCGUGAGUUCGAUGAGUAGGGCGGGACACGUGACAUCCUGUCUGAAUAUGGGGGGACCAUCCUCCAAGGCUAAAUACUCCUGACUGACCGAUAGUGAACCAGUACCGUGAGGGAAAGGCGAAAAGAACCCCGGCGAGGGGAGUGAAAUAGAACCUGAAACCGUGUACGUACAAGCAGUGGGAGCACCUUCGUGGUGUGACUGCGUACCUUUUGUAUAAUGGGUCAGCGACUUAUAUUUUGUAGCAAGGUUAACCGUAUAGGGGAGCCGUAGGGAAACCGAGUCUUAACUGGGCGAAUAGUUGCAAGGUAUAGACCCGAAACCCGGUGAUCUAGCCAUGGGCAGGUUGAAGGUUGGGUAACACUAACUGGAGGACCGAACCGACUAAUGUUGAAAAAUUAGCGGAUGACUUGUGGCUGGGGGUGAAAGGCCAAUCAAACCGGGAGAUAGCUGGUUCUCCCCGAAAGCUAUUUAGGUAGCGCCUCGUGAACUCAUCUUCGGGGGUAGAGCACUGUUUCGGCUAGGGGGCCAUCCCGGCUUACCAAACCGAUGCAAACUCCGAAUACCGAAGAAUGUUAUCACGGGAGACACACGGCGGGUGCUAACGUCCGUCGUGAAGAGGGAAACAACCCAGACCGCCAGCUAAGGUCCCAAAGUCAUGGUUAAGUGGGAAACGAUGUGGGAAGGCAUAGACAGCCAGGAUGUUGGCUUAGAAGCAGCCAUCAUUUAAAGAAAGCGUAAUAGCUCACUGGUCGAGUCGGCCUGCGCGGAAGAUGUAACGGGGCUAAACCAUGCACCGAAGCUGCGGCAGCGACGCUUAGGCGUUGUUGGGUAGGGGAGCGUUCUGUAAGCCGUUGAAGGUGGCCUGUGAGGGUUGCUGGAGGUAUCAGAAGUGCGAAUGCUGACAUAAGUAACGAUAAAGCGGGUGAAAAGCCCGCUCGCCGGAAGACCAAGGGUUCCUGUCCAACGUUAAUCGGGGCAGGGUGAGUCGACCCCUAAGGCGAGGCUGAAAAGCGUAGUCGAUGGGAAACAGGUUAAUAUUCCUGUACUUGGUGUUACUGCGAAGGGGGGACGGAGAAGGCUAGGCUAGCCGGGCGACGGUUGUCCCGGUUUAAGCGUGUAGGGGGUGUGACCUGGUAAAUCCGGUUACAUACUAACCCUGAGGCGUGAUGACGAUGCACUACGGUGCAGAAGUAGUUGAUGCCCUGCUUCCAGGAAAAGCCUCUAAGCUCUAGGUAACAUUAAAUCGUACCCCAAACCGACACAGGUGGUCAGGUAGAGAAUACCAAGGCGCUUGAGAGAACUCGGGUGAAGGAACUAGGCAAAAUGGUGCCGUAACUUCGGGAGAAGGCACGCUGGCAUGUAGGUGAAGUCCCUUGCGGAUGGAGCUGAAGCCAGUCGAAGAUACCAGCUGGCUGCAACUGUUUAAUAAAAACACAGCACUGUGCAAACACGAAAGUGGACGUAUACGGUGUGACGCCUGCCCGGUGCUGGAAGGUUAAUUGAUGGGGUCAGCCGCAAGGCGAAGCUCUUGAUCGAAGCCCCAGUAAACGGCGGCCGUAACUAUAACGGUCCUAAGGUAGCGAAAUUCCUUGUCGGGUAAGUUCCGACCUGCACGAAUGGCGUAAUGAUGGCCAGGCUGUCUCCACCCGAGACUCAGUGAAAUUGAACUCGCUGUGAAGAUGCAGUGUACCCGCGGCAAGACGGAAAGACCCCGUGAACCUUUACUAUAGCUUGACACUGAACAUUGAGCCUUGAUGUGUAGGAUAGGUGGGAGGCUUUGAAGCGUGGACGCCAGUCUGCGUGGAGCCAUCCUUGAAAUACCACCCUUUAAUGUUUGAUGUUCUAACUCGGCCCCGUGAUCCGGGGUGAGGACAGUGUCUGGUGGGUAGUUUGACUGGGGCGGUCUCCUCCCAAAGAGUAACGGAGGAGCACGAAGGUUAGCUAAUCACGGUCGGACAUCGUGAGGUUAGUGCAAAGGCAUAAGCUAGCUUGACUGCGAGAGUGACGGCUCGAGCAGGUACGAAAGUAGGUCUUAGUGAUCCGGUGGUUCUGAAUGGAAGGGCCAUCGCUCAACGGAUAAAAGGUACUCCGGGGAUAACAGGCUGAUACCGCCCAAGAGUUCAUAUCGACGGCGGUGUUUGGCACCUCGAUGUCGGCUCAUCACAUCCUGGGGCUGAAGUAGGUCCCAAGGGUAUGGCUGUUCGCCAUUUAAAGUGGUACGCGAGCUGGGUUUAGAACGUCGUGAGACAGUUCGGUCCCUAUCUGCCGUGGGCGUUGGAAGAUUGAGAGGGGUUGCUCCUAGUACGAGAGGACCGGAGUGAACGCACCACUGGUGUUCGGGUUGUCAUGCCAAUGGCAUUGCCCGGUAGCUAAGUGCGGAAAAGAUAAGCGCUGAAAGCAUCUAAGCGCGAAACUUGCCUCAAGAUGAGUCUUCCCUGGGCCUUUAAGGCCCCUGAAGGAACGUUUAAGACUAAGACGUUGAUAGGCUGGGUGUGUAAGUGCAGCGAUGCAUUGAGCUAACCAGUACUAAUGAUCCGUGAGGCUUAACCUU
This 2906-nucleotide ribosomal RNA is filed under the name Serratia marcescens. Its description in RNAcentral is "bacterial LSU rRNA". It matches the Rfam family "Bacterial large subunit ribosomal RNA". The record is from RNAcentral. Lineage: Bacteria; Pseudomonadati; Pseudomonadota; Gammaproteobacteria; Enterobacterales; Yersiniaceae.